CAGAGCGCCUGCCCAGCCCUGCUAUCUGAUUGGGUGGCUUCUGUCUUCGAACUCUCAGGACCCCUUGGGCGCCCUCAACGGUCACCGAGCUGAUGUGGAAAGAUGAGUGAGCUGUGUAUUAUGAUAAGAACAAAGGAAUGCUCAAAUUACGUUGUUAAGAAAUUAUGUUACACCAUUGUUCUACUUCAGUCGCCAGCUGCUGGCCCUGGUUACUAGCAAGCCAUUCUGAGUCCUGUAUCUUAUUUGUCACCACAUGUCCAAGAGCUCCAAAACCUGACAUGAUACUUGUUGACCCAGGUGAUGACCAAUCUGAGUGAGAAUUGGAAUUUGUGGCAUGUCAGAGGCUUGUAAACCUAAACUAAUUCCUACCACCUGCAACAAACAUACAGCUAACAAAUGGAAAAGAUAGAGAAUCGGAAAAGAAAAACAUUUGAAAAUUGGAUUAAUAUGGAAAUAACCUGUAAUAAAUCACUGAAUUGAAUUCAGACUACCUUCAUGCAGCAUUUUCUGUGAGUCACUUGUUUUUUGCAUGAUGUUAUAAUAAACCUGAAAUGUUGUCAUCAGUUCCCUCACAGUUUGAGCAAUUAUUAAUAUAGCUAAUUGGCAUGAGAAUGAAAUAACUGCUUUAACAGUGGAAGGUUGGGUAACUUCAUAACCAUUCAGGCAUAAUGGGCCAUAAGAGUACAUUUACAGUAUCACUUAUCAGAAGGUCAACCUGAAAAUACAUUGUAUAUCUUUAUAAUUUAGAUUUUCAGUCAACUGAUUUUUUAUCAUAUUUUAAAAAUAUUUAACAAAACCAGGUUUCCUUGUUUAAAUGAGUGUCCCAUAAAUAG
This is a long non-coding RNA of Thamnophis elegans (Western terrestrial garter snake), 833 nucleotides long. RefSeq lists it as uncharacterized. The transcript has 4 exons. The record is from RefSeq and is a predicted model, not a curated record. Lineage: Eukaryota; Metazoa; Chordata; Lepidosauria; Squamata; Natricidae.